UCAAAUACUAAAAUUUUCAAUUUCCCAAAUUCUCAACUUGUUGGUAAGUUAAAAAAUCCCAAACUUCCAAAUUCCUUGUUGGUAAAAUAGAACAUGACACAGGAAUAGUAACAGGCUUCUAGAACCCCAUAGAACACAUGGUACAAGAAAAUCUGUGUACCACAGGUACAGUAGAUUCACUCUUUACCGACAGUAGAAAAUUCCAAACUAAAACCAUCUGCGCAUACUACAGAGGUCUAUAUGUUGAAAUAUCAACUGAAAAUUUGCAAAUUUUAGUUACAGUGUAUUAAACAAAAAUAUGUAUUUAAAUACACAUCCUUAAAACUAGAAUUUAUAUGAAAUUUAUAUGACUACUUAUAGGAAACAAAGUACCAUAGUAUGAAAAAGUCCAUUGUACUGUCUUAUCAGGAACCCCAUAGCUAUCAGCCAGAUAACGAUAUCAUUUAGUCCUAUAAAUUUAAUUGGCAAAAAUGCCGGGGCAAUUAGCGUCCCAUUCUAACCGUCUCGUUGCAAAUUAAUUAAUCGCUUGCACCUGUCGGUGUGAGAAUAAUUUUCUUUCGGUAACAUAAGGUGAAAGGUGCGCUGAGCUUCACGGGUAACAUAAGGAGAAAUACGCGCAUGAAUUGCAUGGCGUUUAUCAUUCAACAUAGCGUCACGAACAACAAACAACGUAGUCCGAGCAAUCUGUCGUGCAUUACUAAUUAGCGCGACAGAAAAUGCGUGAGAAUAUUUGAACAUCAUGGAAGGUGUGAUACGUCAUCGACAAAUGGCAGUGAUGCUGAACGGAUGUUUGGGAUAGCGGGACAUUUUCCGACUCUGCUGAUCACUAAGGUAUGCAAACCAUGCGUUGAUGCUUAGCAGCCGAAUAGGUUUCAGUGUGAAUGGGCCACCAAUAGAAACGCCGAAACUUUUGGCGCCAGAAUUAUUGGCGGGAAGAGAGCUGACUGGCCCAUACAGGUUAGGCUACAAGGACCACACGAACGAGGCUGUUUCACUUGACCGACAAAUACUUCCUGAACAAUCCUCACGUUCACGCUACUUCAAUGACAUAUGUUUCAAUUUGAUUUACAGUGAUGAUUUCUGAAGAAUGCAACGUGUGCAGUAAAUUUUUUUGAGAAGAAUAUUGUUUAAUAAGGAGCCAGAAUGCAUUAAAGAACAUAUUUCUGAAGAAUGCAACGUGUGCAGUAAAUUUUUUUGAGAAGAAUAUUGUUUAAUAAAAAGCCAGAAUGCAUCAAAGAGCAUAUUUCUGAAGAAUGCAACAUGUGCAGUAAUUUUUUUUCAGAAGAAUCUUGUUCAAUAAAAAGCCAGAAUGCAUCAAAGAACAUUGUCAGUACGCAGAUGUGCUUGAAAAUUGAAGAAAGAAUCUAUUAUGAACAGAGUUAAAAUUCGAAGAUGUGGAAAGAGUAUUCUACUGUGGUUCUCCAACUUAAUAUGUACGUUAACGACCGUAGCAACCGACUUGGGAAAUGUAGAAAAUGAUGAUAGGGUUCGAACGAACGCCCCUUCCCACAAUGUAGCAGCAACAGUUGGCUGUUCGACCACAUUGUGCGGCACACAUCUACAAAUACUGAUGUCGUAACGGUCCCUAAAUUCUCCAAAGACGGUUCAAAGAUACCAUACUUCCUGCAACCAUGUUUGAAAAAGGUCUUCCCAGUUGGAGGCAGUGAAAACUAUAUACUCCAUGGCCCAGAAGUUUUGGAAAAGCUUUGAAGUUAAAAAUUAAGUUUGGAAAAAAUUUUUCCAAAAUUUUUUGGAAAA
Long non-coding RNA from Megachile rotundata (alfalfa leafcutting bee), 1758 nucleotides. NCBI's taxonomy places the organism in Eukaryota, Metazoa, Arthropoda, Insecta, Hymenoptera, Megachilidae. The record is from RefSeq and is a predicted model, not a curated record.